GGCAUUCUUCUUUGUCCCUUUCCCCCUCCAUGCACAGCUUUCAGCCAUUGUAGAUUGCAACAUUGAUGAGGUUGGGGAGACACAGGCUGCAGUAAGGAGGUCACUCUAUACAAAUAAUAGUACUUUUGUAAAUCUAUCUCUGGACACUUGGUUGUAAAUAGUUAGAUCCAAGGAUCUAAAAGAAAUUAUCUAUAUAUCAUCAGUAUUAUUAAUACAGUGCAUCAACUCUCACAGUCACAGCACUGUGCCCAAUUCUUUAGCAUCAUUUCAGUAGAUUCAUGCCACACUUAGAUCAUAGCGUGGGGAAAGCCAGCAAAUUGUAAUCAUAUUUUUUUUUUCUCCUGAAAUUUUGAUAUCAUUCCUGGUGUGUGAAUCUCUGGAGAACAUUUUCCAGAGCCUUGUAGUUUGCAAUAGUCAGUGAAUAUCUAUCACCUAUACAUUGAUCAGAAACCUUUCUACAUACACUGGCAACGUGAAAGAAAGUGUUUGACAGUUUUCCACUG
Pelobates cultripes (western spadefoot toad) is the source of this 503-nucleotide non-coding RNA. The record is from the annotation of a GenBank genome assembly. NCBI's taxonomy places the organism in Eukaryota, Metazoa, Chordata, Amphibia, Anura, Pelobatidae.